UACCCACGGCUCUUCCGUAGGAUAACAGAACUAGAGAGUCGAGUGUCUCCGGCCCCGCAUCCUAGAGAUGGGUGGGCAGCGCACCCAGCCCUGACUGUGGCCUCUGGCUAUGCCCUGCGUAUGCAGGCAUAUUUCUAAAAGUCUGAUCUAACAACUGAAAGGAGGUUCAGAUGAUGCCUUACUUUCUUGAAGGCCAAUCAAGAGGUCCACUUUGUUUGCCGAAAGAACACACUCAGAUCCCCAUCAGGCUUCCUCUCAAUUCCCUUGCCUCCUGCAUGGUCUGGAGCCGCCCUCCUGGGAUCCCCAGCUCCAGGAACUCUCAGUUUCCUGCCUAUUCCCUCUCGUCCGUCCUCCCUUUGCACCCCUGACCCCGCUUCUCCCUUCACAUUCACCACAUCCUUUGAAUUGGUAACACAGAGCCCCAUGGACUGGAGUAGCAGGCCAAAGAUCCUGUGAUUCCCCCAAAAUGUCCUUUAAUAAAGGCGGGUGGAGGAUGUGGCGGCCGAGACCUCGCAGUGCCAAUGACUCUCACGUGCUUCGCGUGUUGUCGGGGACUGUCACCCGCACCUCGAGGGGACAGCAUCCCCUCAGCCCUCCCAGGGCGGACCUCCUGCCUCCCCGACAGAAGCUUCCUCCUGGCCAUCUCCCCUGUCUCAUCUGUAAGUGCUUCCAGACCCUUCACCCACUCACCCUGUUGGCUCACUUUGUGUUUCUGUGCUCUGGACCGAUGUCGGCAGAAAGCAGCAGGACCGUCUGAAUGAGCUGAGGGCCAGCCUGGCAGCAAGAAUGUGCGAAGACAGCAGGGCCUGGGCUCAUGGCUGCCUCCUCUCCUCCUCAUGGCCAGGAUCGCUGCUCCAACACCAGCUCCCAUUUGCAGCCCUUUCUGCUCCAUAGAUUCCCUCUCCUUUACACGUUGUUGUUGCUCCAUUAGGUGACUCAGCCAGCUGUGCCUCAUUUCCUGCCUCCCACGACUCCACUCCAUGUGGCCACAGCCUCUGUCACCGUUCCUCUCAUGCCCAGCGAGGAUCCUCAUCACACAGGCAGAGAAUAUGGAUUGAAAAUGACUCCUGGUACGAGAGCAGAAGCUCAGGACCCUGCCUGCCAAGGCUCCCUGUGCUGACCAGCUGUCACUUCUGCCAAGCAGGACUGCCUUACAGGGUUCUUGUGAGGAUCAAGAACUAACAUGCAGAAGAAUUUAAAAAUGAACUUCAACAUGG
This 1217-nucleotide long non-coding RNA is filed under the name Heterocephalus glaber (naked mole-rat). Its description in RNAcentral is "lncRNA (ENSHGLG00000035505.1)". The record is from RNAcentral. Lineage: Eukaryota; Metazoa; Chordata; Mammalia; Rodentia; Bathyergidae.